CCCUUAGAUGUUCUGGGCCGCACGCGCGCUACACUGACGAAUGCAACGAGCUUAUAACCUUGGCCGAAAGGUCUGGGUAAUCUCCAAAUUUCGUCGUGAUGGGGAUAGAUUAUUGCAAUUAUUAAUCUUCAACGAGGAAUGCCUAGUAAGCGCAAGUCAUCAGCUUGCGUUGAUUACGUCCCUGCCCUUUGUACACACCGCCCGUCGCUCCUACCGAUUGAAUGGUCCGGUGAAGCGUUCGGACCGUGGCCUUUGGACGGUUCGCCGUCUGUUGGUUGCGGGAAGUUCGUUAAACCUUAUCAUUUAGAGGAAGGAGAAGUCGUANCA
Molecule: ribosomal RNA, 327 nt
Filed under: uncultured eukaryote
Lineage: Eukaryota
Description: partial 18S ribosomal RNA
Rfam family: Eukaryotic small subunit ribosomal RNA
Source: RNAcentral